Molecule: ribosomal RNA, 494 nt
Filed under: uncultured bacterium
Lineage: Bacteria
Description: partial 16S ribosomal RNA
Rfam family: Bacterial small subunit ribosomal RNA
Source: RNAcentral
GACGAACGCUGGCGGCGUGCUUAACACAUGCAAGUCGAACGGUGAAGCGCCUUCCUUUUUGGUGGGUGUGGAUGAGUGGCGAACGGGUGAGUAACACGUGAGUAACCUGCCCCCUUCUUCUGGAUAACCGCAUGAAAGUGUGGCUAAUACGGGAUAUUCUGGGUCUGUCGCAUGAUGGGUCUGGGAAAGAUAUUGUUUCGGUGGGGGAUGGGCUCGCGGCCUAUCAGCUUGUUGGUGGGGUGAUGGCCUACCAAGGCGGUGACGGGUAGCCGGCCUGGGAGGGUGGACGGUCACACGGGGACUGAGACACGGCCCAGACUCCUACGGGAGGCAGCAGGGGGGAAUAUUGCACAAUGGGCGCAAGCCUGAUGCAGCGACGCCGCGUGAGGGAUGGAGGCCUGCGGGUUGUGAACCUCUUUCGCCAGUGAAGCAGGCCUGCCUCGUUUGUGGGUGGGUUGACGGUAGCUGGAUAAGAAGCGCCGGCUAACUACGUG